Molecule: ribosomal RNA, 500 nt
Filed under: Klebsiella pneumoniae
Lineage: Bacteria; Pseudomonadati; Pseudomonadota; Gammaproteobacteria; Enterobacterales; Enterobacteriaceae
Description: bacterial SSU rRNA
Rfam family: Bacterial small subunit ribosomal RNA
Source: RNAcentral
AACGCGUUAAAUCGACCGCCUGGGGAGUACGGCCGCAAGGUUAAAACUCAAAUGAAUUGACGGGGGCCCGCACAAGCGGUGGAGCAUGUGGUUUAAUUCGAUGCAACGCGAAGAACCUUACCUGGUCUUGACAUCCACAGAACUUUCCAGAGAUGGAUUGGUGCCUUCGGGAACUGUGAGACAGGUGCUGCAUGGCUGUCGUCAGCUCGUGUUGUGAAAUGUUGGGUUAAGUCCCGCAACGAGCGCAACCCUUAUCCUUUGUUGCCAGCGGUCCGGCCGGGAACUCAAAGGAGACUGCCAGUGAUAAACUGGAGGAAGGUGGGGAUGACGUCAAGUCAUCAUGGCCCUUACGACCAGGGCUACACACGUGCUACAAUGGCAUAUACAAAGAGAAGCGACCUCGCGAGAGCAAGCGGACCUCAUAAAGUAUGUCGUAGUCCGGAUUGGAGUCUGCAACUCGACUCCAUGAAGUCGGAAUCGCUAGUAAUCGUAGAUCAGAA